GCAAUGGUGGCACAGUGGUAGCACGCGUGACCCAUGUUCAGAGGCCUUCGUCCUCAAGGCGUCCUGUUGUGGGUUCGAGACCCAGCCUGGUGACUUUUACUGCA
Non-coding RNA from Characodon lateralis, 104 nucleotides. NCBI's taxonomy places the organism in Eukaryota, Metazoa, Chordata, Actinopteri, Cyprinodontiformes, Goodeidae. The record is from the annotation of a GenBank genome assembly.